This 468-nucleotide ribosomal RNA is filed under the name uncultured bacterium. RNAcentral's name for it is "partial 16S ribosomal RNA". It matches the Rfam family "Bacterial small subunit ribosomal RNA", at positions 29 to 507 of the family's 1533-position model. The record is from RNAcentral.
AACGAACGCUGGCGGCAUGCUUAACACAUGCAAGUCGAACGGAAAGGCCGUGCUUUUUUGCGCUGCUCGAGUGGCGAACGGGUGAGUAACACGUGAGUAACCUACCCUUGACUUUGGGAUAACUUCAGGAAGCUUGGGCUAAUACCAGAUAGGAUCUCCUGCUCCAUGGUGGGCGUUGGAAAGUUUAGCCGGUUGGGGAUGGACUCGCGGCUUAUGGGCUUGUUGGUUGGGUAGUGGCUUACCAAGACUUUGACGGGUAGCCGGCCUGAGAGGGUGACCGGCCACAUGAGGACUGAGAUACGGCCCAGACUCGAAUGGGAGGCAACAGGGGGGAGUAUUGCACAGUGGGAGGAAGCCUGAUGCGGAGACGCCGCGUGCGGGAAGACGGCCUGCGGGUAGUAAAACGCAUCCGCUUGAGACGAAGCGUUAGUGACGGUACUGGGAGAAGAAGCACCGGCUAACUACGUG